This 660-nucleotide ribosomal RNA is filed under the name Bacillus sp. R33. RNAcentral's name for it is "bacterial SSU rRNA". It matches the Rfam family "Bacterial small subunit ribosomal RNA", at positions 79 to 724 of the family's 1533-position model. Lineage: Bacteria; Bacillati; Bacillota; Bacilli; Caryophanales; Bacillaceae. The record is from RNAcentral.
UGCUCUUAUGAAGUUAGCGGCGGACGGGUGAGUAACACGUGGGUAACCUGCCCAUAAGACUGGGAUAACUCCGGGAAACCGGGGCUAAUACCGGAUAACAUUUUGCACCACAUGGUGCGAAAUUGAAAGGCGGCUUCGGCUGUCACUUAUGGAUGGACCCGCGUCGCAUUAGCUAGUUGGUGAGGUAACGGCUCACCAAGGCAACGAUGCGUAGCCGACCUGAGAGGGUGAUCGGCCACACUGGGACUGAGACACGGCCCAGACUCCUACGGGAGGCAGCAGUAGGGAAUCUUCCGCAAUGGACGAAAGUCUGACGGAGCAACGCCGCGUGAGUGAUGAAGGCUUUCGGGUCGUAAAACUCUGUUGUUAGGGAAGAACAAGUGCUAGUUGAAUAAGCUGGCACCUUGACGGUACCUAACCAGAAAGCCACGGCUAACUACGUGCCAGCAGCCGCGGUAAUACGUAGGUGGCAAGCGUUAUCCGGAAUUAUUGGGCGUAAAGCGCGCGCAGGUGGUUUCUUAAGUCUGAUGUGAAAGCCCACGGCUCAACCGUGGAGGGUCAUUGGAAACUGGGAGACUUGAGUGCAGAAGAGGAAAGUGGAAUUCCAUGUGUAGCGGUGAAAUGCGUAGAGAUAUGGAGGAACACCAGUGGCGAAGGCGA